UAGAAUAGAGUGUCACAGCAUGUCCC
Molecule: non-coding RNA, 26 nt
Filed under: Mus musculus (house mouse)
Lineage: Eukaryota; Metazoa; Chordata; Mammalia; Rodentia; Muridae
Source: RNAcentral